This 370-nucleotide long non-coding RNA is filed under the name Rattus norvegicus (Norway rat). RNAcentral describes it as "long non-coding RNA NONRATT025066". Lineage: Eukaryota; Metazoa; Chordata; Mammalia; Rodentia; Muridae. The record is from RNAcentral.
CGGCCGCAGCCUGGGACCCGGGUCUGCUGGCUCCCGGAGAACACCGGCGCUCCGAAGAUUCACUGAGCUCCCUCCCUGAAGCCUCUCUGCAGCCACUGACUGGACAUCUUAGCUAUUGGCUGAUCAGUACUUUAUUAACCAGUUAGAGUUGAUGGAAACUGCCACCAGAUCUCUGGGCACAGAAAACAGCAUCUGAAUACACAGUGCACAAAACCAUCCCCCAACAAGCUUCCUUCUUCCGUGUAUAGGCUUCUAGCAGGAAGUAUGGCCCAGAUUAAAGAUGUGUCUUCUCACCUCAAAAUCUGAAUCAAAGGUGUGCCCUCCAUUUUUGGAUUUUAGUUCAUUCCAGAUGUGGUCCAGUUGAUAACCA